This 434-nucleotide ribosomal RNA is filed under the name uncultured bacterium. RNAcentral's name for it is "partial 16S ribosomal RNA". It matches the Rfam family "Bacterial small subunit ribosomal RNA", at positions 29 to 507 of the family's 1533-position model. The record is from RNAcentral.
AGCGAACGCUGGCGGCAGGCCUAACACAUGCAAGUCGAACGAACCUUUCGGGGUUAGUGGCGGACGGGUGAGUAACACGUGGGAACGUGCCUUUAGGUUCGGAAUAACUCAGGGAAACUUGUGCUAAUACCGAAUGUGCCCUUCGGGGGAAAGAUUUAUCGCCUUUAGAGCGGCCCGCGUCUGAUUAGCUAGUUGGUUGAGGUAAUGGCUCACCAAGGCGACGAUCAGUAGCUGGUCUGAGAGGAUGAUCAGCCACAUUGGGACUGAGACACGGCCCAAACUCCUACGGGAAGCAGCAGUGGGGAAUCUUGCGCAAUGGGCGAAAGACUGACGCAGCCAUGCCGCGUGAAUGAUGAAGGUCUUAGGAUUGUAAAAUUCUUUCACCGGGGACGAUAAUGACGGUACCCGGAGAAGAAGCCCCGGCUAACUUCGUG